Molecule: long non-coding RNA, 407 nt
Organism: Drosophila subobscura
Lineage: Eukaryota; Metazoa; Arthropoda; Insecta; Diptera; Drosophilidae
Exons: 2
Source: RefSeq, a predicted model, not a curated record
GUUAGAUCAAAGCAAUCCAAGAGUUUUACAAUAGAUAAAAACACAAAUUUAAAACUUAAGGCUGGGGCAGAGCCGAUCUCGUAAAAUAUAAAGCAAAACCUUGAGAGUGUAAGGGCAUUAGCUGACUUAUCCAGAAAUGGAUUCAGAACAAGAUGAGGAUUGGUUUCACAAUGAAACUGACACUGAAGAUGAACAUGACGAAAUGAUUGCCACGUUGGAGCGAGAGCUGGGGCAGAAUGCUGCUGGAAACCAAAGUUAUACAAUACUUCGUAUGCUUCGGAUAUUUGCCGUCAUCAUUUUGGCCAUAGUUAUAGGCAAAUAUUUCCUAUUUAUUAAGUUAUAGUUCAAUUAAAUUCAUGUUAAAUUAUAAGUAAAUAAUGCACCAUUAUAAUGCAUAAUGAACCCCC